RNAcentral lists this ribosomal RNA (363 nucleotides) under uncultured organism. RNAcentral's name for it is "bacterial SSU rRNA". It matches the Rfam family "Bacterial small subunit ribosomal RNA", at positions 1034 to 1413 of the family's 1533-position model. The record is from RNAcentral.
ACAGGUGGUGCAUGGUCGUCGUCAGCUCGUGCCGCAAGGUGUCCAGUUAAGUCUGGGAACGAGCGCAACCCUCACUCUAUGUUAGAAUGUCAUAGAGGACUGCCCCGGUAACGGGGAGGAAGGAGAGGAUGACGUCAGAUCCUCAUGCCCCUUACGUUUAGGGCUUCAUAGACAAUACAAUGGGUAGUACAGCGGGAAGCGAAAUCGCGAGAUGGAGCAAAUCCUACAAAGCUAUCCCUAGUUCGGAUUGUAGUCUGGAAUUCGACUACAUGAAGUCGGAAUUGCUAGUACUGGCAGGUCAGCAUACUGCCGUGUAUAUGUCCCUGUUCCUUGCACUCACCGCCCGUCAAACCAUGGGAGUUG